ACACUCCUGCGGGAGGCAGCAGUGAGGAAUAUUGGACAAUGGGUGGAAGCCUGAUCCAGCCAUCCCGCGUGCAGGAAGACGGCCCUAUGGGUUGUAAACUGCUUUUAUCUGGGGAUAAACCUACUUACGUGUAAGUAGCUGAAGGUACCAGAAGAAUAAGCACCGGCUAACUCCGUGCCAGCAGCCGCGGUAAUACGGAGGGUGCAAGCGUUAUCCGGAUUUAUUGGGUUUAAAGGGUCCGUAGGCGGACUGAUAAGUCAGUGGUGAAAUCCGACAGCUUAACUGUCGAACUGCCAUUGAUACUGUUAGUCUUGAGUAAGGUUGAAGUGGCUGGAAUAAGUAGUGUAGCGGUGAAAUGCAUAGAUAUUACUUAGAACACCAAUUGCGAAGGCAGGUCACUAAGUCUUAACUGACGCUGAUGGACGAAAGCGUGGGGAGCGAACAGGAUUAGAAACCCCAGUGUCCCAUG
Molecule: ribosomal RNA, 469 nt
Filed under: uncultured organism
Description: partial 16S ribosomal RNA
Rfam family: Bacterial small subunit ribosomal RNA
Source: RNAcentral